AGGAAAACUAAUUUAGCAUAAAUUUAAUAUUGUAAAAGUUUUAGAAACUUUAGGUUUAUAAUUG
Molecule: transfer RNA, 64 nt
Filed under: Symphylella sp. YG-2006
Lineage: Eukaryota; Metazoa; Arthropoda; Symphyla; Scolopendrellidae
Description: tRNA-Leu
Source: RNAcentral